RNAcentral lists this ribosomal RNA (820 nucleotides) under uncultured eukaryote. RNAcentral's name for it is "SSU rRNA". It matches the Rfam family "Eukaryotic small subunit ribosomal RNA", at positions 629 to 1426 of the family's 1831-position model. The record is from RNAcentral.
CGGUGUUUAACUGGCGUGAUGUGGGACGUCCUACCGGUGGGCUUAGCCUCGCGAGGGGCGGCCCAACUAAUAUCCCGUCGCGGUGCUCUUUACUGAGUGUCGAGUCGGGCCGGUACGUUUACUUUGAACAAAUUAGAGUGCUUAAAGCAGGCUAUCCUCGCCUGAAUACUGCGUGCAUGGAAUAAUGGAAUAGGACCUCGGUUCUAUUUUGUUGGUUUUCGGAACCCCGAGGUAAUGAUUAAUAGGGACAGAUGGGGGCAUUCGUAUUGCGACGUUAGAGGUGAAAUUCUUGGAUCGUCGCAAGACGGACAGAAGCGAAAGCAUUUGCCAAAAAUGUUUUCAUUAAUCAAGAACGAAAGUUAGAGGUUCGAAGGCGAUCAGAUACCGCCCUAGUUCUAACCAUAAACGAUGCCAGCUAGCGAUCCGCCGAAGUUCCUCCGAUGACUCGGCGGGCAGCUUUCCGGGAAACCAAAGCUUUUGGGUUCCGGGGGAAGUAUGGUUGCAAAGCUGAAACUUAAAGGAAUUGAGGGAAGGGCACCACCAGGAGUGGAGCCUGCGGCUUAAUUUGACUCAACACGGGAAACCUCACCAGGCCCAGACACCGGAAGGAUUGACAGAUUGAUAGCUCUUUUUUGAUUCGGUGGGUGGUGGUGCAUGGCCGUUUUUAGUUGGUGGAGCGAUUUGUCUGGUUAAUUCUGAUAACGAACGAGACUCUAGCCUGCUAAAUAGGCGUACCUUAUGGUAUCGCGAAGGCCCCCGGCUUCGGCCGGUGGGUUUUUACUACCAACGUACAAACAAAUCUUUUUAGAGGGACAGGCGG